CGGACUGCAGUCUGCAACUCGACUGCACGAAGUCGGAAUUGCUAGUAAUCGCGGAUCAGCAUGCCGCGGUGAAUACGUUCCCGGGCCUUGUACACACCGCCCGUCACACCAUGAGAGUCGGGAACACCCGAAGUCGGUAGUCUAACCUCGUGAGGACGCCGCCGAAGGUGGGCUUGAUAAUUGGGGUGAAGUCGUAACAAGGUAGC
Molecule: ribosomal RNA, 206 nt
Filed under: uncultured bacterium
Lineage: Bacteria
Description: partial 16S ribosomal RNA
Rfam family: Bacterial small subunit ribosomal RNA
Source: RNAcentral